GGUCACAGCAAUAUUGCCCUGCAGCCUCACUGAAGGCAAGCAGGGCUGAAUCUGGUCAGUACCUGGAUGGGAGACCACAUGGGAAAACAAGGUUGCUGUUGGAA
RNAcentral lists this ribosomal RNA (104 nucleotides) under Danio rerio (zebrafish). The record is from RNAcentral. Lineage: Eukaryota; Metazoa; Chordata; Actinopteri; Cypriniformes; Danionidae.